GGUAGGGGCGCUUUUAUUGGUCCAAGACCAUUCGCCCGGUCCGUCCGGGCGUCUCCUUGAUGAAUCCAAAUAACAAAUCAGAUCGCAUGGUCUUCGUACCGGCGACUUAUCUUUCAAAUGCCUGACUUAUCAACUGACGAUGGUAGACUCUGUGUCUACCAUGGCUCCUACGGGUAACGGGGAAUCAGGGUUCGAUUCCGGAGAGGGAGCCUGAGAAACGGCUACCACAUCCAAGGAAGGCAGCAGGCACGCAAAUUACCCACUCCCGGCACGGGGAGGUAGUGACAAAAAAUAACGAUACGGGACUCGAUAAGAGGCCCCGUAAUCGGAAUGAUUACACUUUAAACACUUUUUUAAAAAUCUAUUGGAGGGCAAGUCCGGUGCCAGCAGCCGCGGUAAUUCCGGCUCCAAUAGCGUAUAUUAAAGUUGUUGCGGUUAAAAAGCUCGUAGUUGGUUCUGCGUGCCGCGCUGUCGGUUCACCGCCUGCCGGUGCAACUGGCAUGCCGCGGCAUGUCCUGUCGGUGGCGGCCGACUAUCCUUCGAUCGUCGAGUUAGCUCGGCGGUUGAUGGUGUCUUUUGAACGCCGGCUCAAUCCUACCGCGGUGCUCUUUACCGAGUGUCGAGGUAGGCCGACACUGUUUACUUUGAACAAAUUAGAGUGCUUAAAGCAGGCUCUUAAAUCAGCCUGAAUAGUGGUGCAUGGAAUAAUGGAACAGGACCUUGGUUCUAUUUUGUUGGUUUUCAGGAACACAAGGAAAUGAUCAAUGUGGACAGGCGGGGGCAUUCGUAUUGCGGCGUUAGAGGUGAAAUUCUUGGAUCGUCGCAAGACGCACUAGAGCGAAAGCAUUUGCCAAGUAUGUCUUAAUUGAUCAAGAACGAAAGUUAGAGGUUCGAAGGCGAUCAGAUACCGCCCUAGUUCUAACCAUAAACGAUGCCAGCCAGCGAUCCGCCGAUGUUCCUCCGAUGACUCGGCGGGGAGCUUUCCCCGGGAAACCAAAGCUUUUGGGUUCCGGGGGAAGUAUGGUUGCAAAGCUGAAACUUAAAGGAAUUGACGGAAGGGCACCACCAGGAGUGGAGCCUGCGGCUUAAUUUGACUCAACACGGGAAACCUCACCAGGCCCGGACAUUGGAAGGAUUGACAGAUCGAUAGCUCUUUCUCGAUUCAGUGGGUAGUGGUGCAUGGCCGUUCUUAGUUGGUGGACUGAUUUGUCUGGUUAAUUCCGAUAACGAACGAGACUCUAGCCUAUUAACUAGGCGUUGCCGGUAUAAACAGCUACCGGCGAGAUUUUUUCUUCUUAAGGGGACAGGCGGCUCUCAGCCGCACGAGAUUGAGCAAUAACAGGUCUGUGAUGCCCUUAGAUGUUCUGGGCCGCACGCGCGCUACACUGAAGGAAUCAGCGUGUGCGUUCCCCUGUCCGAAAGGUCCGGGUAACCCGCUGAACCUCCUUCGUGCUAGGAAUUGGGGCUUGCAAUUGUUCCCCAUGAACGAGGAAUUCCCAGUAAGCGCGAGUCAUAAGCU
RNAcentral lists this ribosomal RNA (1519 nucleotides) under Amphiareus constrictus. RNAcentral's name for it is "SSU rRNA". It matches the Rfam family "Eukaryotic small subunit ribosomal RNA", at positions 194 to 1636 of the family's 1831-position model. Lineage: Eukaryota; Metazoa; Arthropoda; Insecta; Hemiptera; Anthocoridae. The record is from RNAcentral.